CUUAGUCAUGCCUGGUAGGCAAAUCCGCCGGGCUUAGAUGAGGGGUGAUAACGAGGCGGCUUGCCGCCGAAGUGAGUGAUACCCUGCUUCCAGGAAAAGCCACUAAGCUUCAGCUGCACACGACCGUACCGCAAACCGACACUGGUGCGCGAGAUGAGUAUUCUAAGGCGCUUGAGAGAACUCUGGAGAAGGAACUCGGCAAAUUGACACCGUAACUUCGGAAGAAGGUGUGCCUUUAGUAGGUGAUCCAUUUACUUGGUGAGCCCAAUGAGGCCGCAGAGAAUCGGUGGCUGCAACUGUUUAAUAAAAACACAGCACUCUGCAAAGACGAAAGUCGACGUAUAGGGUGUGACGCCUGCCCGGUGCUGGAAGAUUAAAUGAUGGGGUGCAAGCUCUUGAUUGAAGUCCCAGUAAACGGCGGCCGUAACUAUAACGGUCCUAAGGUAGCGAAAUUCCUUGUCGGGUAAGUUCCGACCUGCACGAAUGGCGUAAUGAUGGCCACACUGUCUCCUCCAGAGACUCAGCGAAGUUGAAAUGUUUGUGAUGAUGCAAUCUCCCCGCGGAAAGACGGAAAGACCCCAUGAACCUUUACUGUAGCUUUACAUUGGACUUGAACAGAUCUGUGUAGGAUAGGUGGGAGGCUUUGAAGCGGUGCCGCUAGGUGUCGUGGAGCCAACGUUGAAAUACCACCCUGGUGUGUUUGAGGUUCUAACCUUGGCCCGUUAUCCGGGUUGGGGACAGUGUAUGGUAGGCAGUUUGACUGGGGCGGUCUCCUCCCAAAGUGUAACGGAGGAGUUCGAAGGUACGCUAAAUACGGUCGGAAAUCGUGUUUAUAGUGCAUUGGCAUAAGCGUGCUUGACUGCGAGACUGACAAGUCGAGCAGGUACGAAAGUAGGACAAAGUGAUCCGGUGGUUCUUUAUGGAAGGGCCAUCGCUCAACGGAUAAAAGGUACUCUGGGGAUAACAGGCUGAUACCGCCCAAGAGUUCAUAUCGACGGCGGUGUUUGGCACCUCGAUGUCGGCUCAUCUCAUCCUGGGGCUGUAGCCGGUCCCAAGGGUAUGGCUGUUCGCCAUUUAAAGAGGUACGUGAGCUGGGUUUAAAACGUCGUGAGACAGUUUGGUCCCUAUCUUCCGUGGGCGCUGCAAGAUUGAGAGAGCCUGCUCCUAGUACGAGAGGACCGGAGUGGACGCACCUCUGGUGUAUCGGUUGUCACGCCAGUGGCAUUGCCGAGUAGCUAAGUGCGGAAGAGAUAACCGCUGAAAGCAUCUAAGCGGGAAACUCGUCUCAAGAUGAGUCUUGCCGGGGCCUUGAGCCCCCUGAAGGGUCGUUCGAGACCAGGACGUUGAUAGGCUGGGUGUGGAAGCGCAGUAAUGCGUUAAGCUAACCAGUACUAAUUGCCCGUGAGGCUUGACCUU
RNAcentral lists this ribosomal RNA (1416 nucleotides) under metagenome. Its description in RNAcentral is "bacterial LSU rRNA". It matches the Rfam family "Bacterial large subunit ribosomal RNA", at positions 1519 to 2925 of the family's 2925-position model. The record is from RNAcentral.